Numida meleagris (helmeted guineafowl) is the source of this 6125-nucleotide long non-coding RNA. RefSeq lists it as uncharacterized. The record is from RefSeq and is a predicted model, not a curated record. The transcript is spliced from 5 exons. NCBI's taxonomy places the organism in Eukaryota, Metazoa, Chordata, Aves, Galliformes, Numididae.
AAGUAUGCAAGACUCAGUGAGGAAAUCUGUGCUUUGCAUCAGGCUCUAAGGUGGAUUCCCCUUGGCAGUGGGGAUCCUGUUUCCACCUUGAAUGAGGUGGAAAAGCCCUGUGCAAAAACGAGGGAUGCAAUCAUGGCAUCAAAAGAUACUCCAAGGAGACUGGCAACAAGGCAGCCUUACCUCUGGGGCUUCCUGACUGUGAAGUCCCGAACUUCAAAACUUAAAUACAUUUAUUCUGAAUUUUUUAGUGUACGGUAACAGAAAGAAUGCCAGGUAAAGUGUGACAGUUUUCAGCCACACACAAUCAAUGAAAUUACUAUGGGUUGUUGUGUUUUGCCCUAAUGAGUGAUCAUGAUUUGAGCAGAGAUCUCAUUACUUUUUAAAAGUCUGUUAAUACCUAGGUUAAAUUCCUAAAGCGAUGGCUUUCCAUAAUGGCACAGUGGUCCAGAAUUACCCUAAUAUUACACCAGCAGUAUUUAAGAUGACUUUUCGGGCCCCACUCCAUCAGGGGAGUUAAAUCCUUGUUCAUUUCCUUAUCAAUGAGCAGAGGGUGUGUGCUUCAUAGUGGCCUAAGCAACUCUGUUCUGCUAGUGGCAAAAAACACAAAAAUUCAUUUCACUGCAUAGUUCUUUAAAAAGUAAUAAACACUAGAAUUAGUGCAUUAGAUAUCUUUUAACAGCUUAAUUUAUUUUCCCCAUCUCGAACUGACAUACAAACAAGGAAUGCGCUUGUGAAUCCUAACUCAAAACGUAUGCAUAGGACACAACCAGCAUGUGAACUACCUCUGCAAAAAUUAGAAAAACCAGAAAAAAAACCUAAAGCUGGCAUUCGUGUCACUGCAGUGAGUACAUCCAUUGUUCAAAAACCAAAUCCAGGUCAGUGAAUCAGAAAGAGCAGCUGGGAGCUGCUGGGCAGCACUGCUGCAGCCCCAAUAGGAGACAGCGUGGGGCAGUCCCAGUGACCUGACCACUCACACCUCACCUCUGCUGCAGGGCAACGGGAUGGAGGGAGGAGGGAAGCACGCUGCAGUUGUCUUUUCAUGCACAGCUUUAUUCCCACAGCAGCCCAGCCAUGCUGUCUAUCUCUCCGAGAGCGGUAGAGCCAAGGCUCAGCUCUCUCCUUGCUCCAGCCAAGGCUAGGCUCCUUGAUCCACUGCCCAGCUGUGUGCUACCCCCUGCUUCAGAGCAGGACACAGCUGCAGAGCAUCUUCCCCAAGAGCCCUGGAGAAAGCCCUGAACAGCCUGCCCUGCUCCCACUGCUGACCCCACCUGGAGCAGUGUGGGCCCCCUGGGUCUCCUCCAACCUGUACAAGGAUAUGGUUUUCGUGAGAAAAGAAGUACCUAUCUUGUGCUUGCCUUCUUUGCUUUGCUUUGCUGCCAUAUGAAACUUCAACAAAUAGAUAAAGUGAAGUAGACCAAAAGAGUCAAUACAUGAGCACCAACACAGCCAUUACCAAAAUGAUGACUUAACUGCAAGCCUUUAUUUGUCUUGAUGGUUGGUCUAAGACAGCAGACUGAUGGUUAAAACUUUUUUGUUGUUGUUUUUAGUGUUUUACCAGUUGUGUCACCAUCAGGGCUGAACCGUGGAUGUGUACUUUGGGAGAAAGAGGAAACUUGUACGCUGCCCACCUGAGUGCGGAUGGGUCUUCUGCAGUGGAGAAGAAGCUGCCCUGGCAACCAGCAAGUAAUGGCACAUUCAGACCAGCCUAAAUUCCCACCUUCCCAUUAACAAAAGUUGGAAGAGGCAUAGCAAUAUGUGCUACAACUACUGGGGCCGGAGGGACAAAUAAAUAUAGAAACAAGGACAAAAAUCCUGGAGACAUAAAAGCAUCUCAACAACAGAACAUCCUUGGAAUCAACAGAUGUUAUUUGUACACAUUUUGUUAUGCUGUCAGAUAAUUCAUUUAAUUAAAGGGCACGUGUAUUCACGUCUCACCAGUGUAUUAUGAACAGCACUUAAAUUAUGGCAGCGCAUAAACCCAGGACGUUAGUAUUUUAUCCACCCUUACCAUAAAGACUGACUCCAUCAAUUUUAAUACACAGUGGAUUUAAGAAGUUGGCUACGGCUUCAUGGCAGCCUGCCCAGCUCCUUUGCUCAAUCAAGCAAUAGUUGUCUUUGACCAAAAAGGAAAAAAAACAGCAGACAGUGUCAUUGCUGAGUGUCUGCUGGCAUUAGCUUUCAGCACAGGAGCAAGCAGAUCACACUCAAAGACACGAAUAUUUUGGGUAACCGUAACAAUAUAGAAGUGGAUGGAUUACUAGUUCAUUAUUGAAACUAUCCACUUCAGAUUUGUUUUGCAAAACUUACUAUGCCACCUAUAUCCAUUAAUUUGUUUGUGCAUAUGAACAGUGUGCUGUGGAGACAACGUAGACACCCAUACCACACACUUUACCCCUGUAUAUACACCACCAGCACGUCGGGGUGCCCUGGGCAAGGUCACCGAGCUCCUAAUGCUGUGUGGGAUGUGGCAGAGGAAUCCAUCUUUACCAAUUAGCCUUCAUUACACACGAUGCUGCUCAUAAAUCUUGAUGUACAGCUUUCCAGUGUAAUAACUCUGCCUCGCACUCACGCGGACCCUCUCAAUCUUUGACUUUACGAAGCAUUUCACAAACACAAAUUAGCCCUGUGUUUGCACUCCCCAGGUGAAUGUGCUGCUAUGGAGAGAUGCCGCAGGCGUGACCCGACGUCCCGCAGCACCCGCGCCGUGCUAUCCCGCUGCUCUCACCCGGGGACGGGAGUCCCAGGAGCAAUUAGGUGCUUUAAAAGCUAUGGUAGCGCCUGAAACGAAGCUUUCCAUUUUUCUCUGAGACUCACGGUCCUCUCCACAUGCAAAUUCCCCGACGAACGCACCUGAUCCUGCCAGGGACUCAUAAAACCGACGGCGGUAGCAGGUUACUGAGAUAAACCCCAGUGAUAUGGCUGUAUUUCAUAAUCAGCAGCAGAACAGAACUGGCAAGCCUUCACUGAUUUCUGUGGCCGGCACUGACAAAAAUCUUUCCAAUUUCAGAUUCCAUAAUGCAGCCUCAUCCAAUCCUAAUAAAGUCGCUAUGAAAACUCCAGCGUAUUUGUUUUGACAACAGGUUCUAACAACAAAGCAGUGGAGCUGUUGCCAAGACCAACUUACUUGUAAGUAAGAACUUUAGCUACGCAACUGCUCUUGUGCACACACACUUUCCCAGACUUUAAGCUACUGACUGAUGGGAGGAUAUUGCCAAUAACAAUAUGUUGUAAGCUGUGCAUUUUUACAGAGCUUCCUUUGCUACCUGUUGCACAUCUACUAUUUAACUUAUUUAGCAGAUUUUUGAAAAUAUUUAAUGGAAUUGAAAUGCAGCCAUUUCUGGAGUUGAGCAGAGCAGCUGCGUAAUGGCAAAGCAAUGCCACUAACAGUUUUCGACGGGAAAUAAAGAAUGUCGUGUCCAGUUGCAGUAGGGGAUAGGAUUUCAGGUAGGCAAAUUCUAAUGACCAAAGUCACAAUUUGGCUGAGGCCCAAGUUAACCCCUAUUAACCCAAACAAUUAUAUGAUGUCUCUAUUCAUUACAUUAAGGCCGAUUUUAAAUUUCUUUUUGCUACCCCAGUAAACAAGGAAUGGUCAGCUGGUUGUGGUACUUUCUGGGUCAUAUGUGAGGUAAAGUCUGGUUGCGGCUGAGCAUCCUUUCCCACAGCCCCAUGGGGAAGGUUUCCCUGGCACACCAGAGCCCAGCUAAGCCCUCUCCAUCACCCAGCUCUGGCCUUACACUGGUCUGUGUUCCAGCAGCUCAGUAGUACCCUGUUUCCUGCUGGUGUUAAGGAACUUAAGCUCAGGAAGAAUGCUUGUUUCAUGACAUUUAACAAAUCUGGGUAAUCCCACUGAGAAGCAGGAUGUUCAUGCUGUGAAGAAGGGGCUGGCCUAGGUGGAUCUACAACUCUUUCCAUCUAAAAAUGUCUCUGUUUCUGUGAGAACAUUUUGGUAGUGUCAGGCAGCACCUGUAUUCCAUUAACUCCAAAAGCAUUUCAUUGUUUACAGUAACCAGGAAAUGUCGACGUCUGUGUUAGAUUAGCAAAUCAGCAGUAACAACUGCAGUUUCAGAUUUUAGAGCUGAACAGAGAGCAGUUUACUGUGAGUUGCUGAGGGCUUUACUUUUUUUGGUUGAAACAUGAACAGGCCCAUAGUACUGCCCUCAACACUGCUCAAGACAGCAGGGGGGAAGAAAGUUAUCAAAGGACGACCCAGUUUGGUUCAGUAAUGGCUUCAUAUCAAUGGGCACGUUUUGAUGUGGAAACACUGGAACUGUUUUGCUGUAAAAUAACAUCUUUUCUCUUGUAGCACCAGCUGUAAAACAUGAACACCUUGUUGAAUCACACUCCAGAAAUCUGAAAUGGGAGCCCUGCCAAAGCUCUGGGCUUCCUUUUUGCUUUGACUGUGGCACAGCUCUUGAUUCUGUUCGUAUCAUGUUCUUACCACUUACGCUUUUCAGACACCUCAGCCAAGCUCCUUCCCAGUGCAACUCUCUGAACUCAAUGAGGCUGCAGUAGAAGAGCAGUUGUCUCAGUAUGUCUGUAAAUUAACCAGCCAUUUAAGUUGGAGAGUGUCAUUGAUAAGCACUAACAGCACAGGAGUGGCAAAAGGAAGAUAUCUUCCAGUUAGUUUUGGACAGCUGACAUGAACUCGGCUGUCAGAUAAGUCUUACAGACUGUGGGAAAUGCUGACUGAGAACAGUCACACUUGCUGCCUGUAACCAUAGGAGAAAAACAGACCAAGAAUUCAGAGGAAAUCUCGACAUUAUCUGCUCCCUCUGCGCCUACCAGUCCGGCAAUCCAAACCACAGCUGAGUAUCUACUGCCUCUGCCCAUGGCCCAAACAAAUGUGUUUUCUUGGCAAAGUUUUUCCUCACUUUUAGGGGCAAGAGAGGAGGCAAAGAGAAGAAAAGAGCCUCAAGUGUGUGUGGGGGAGUGCUUUCUGCCAAAAAAACAGGAGCUGCUUUUCUGUAUCAUUUAAAGGACAAUCCUGAAACACUAAGGCUGUAGACAGAGGUGACUGCACUCCAAAGGACAGUUUUCCAAAGGACAUCUCUACACAACAGAUCUCCAGUGCUUCAUCACCUUGGUCUCUGCUGACACUAUCAGUGAUGGUUUGCCGCAGGCCUCGGUAAAAGGAGCAUACAACCCAGGGGAACAAAGCCAUCCAAAAGGAAUACUCAGUGCCCAUCCAAUUUGAAUCAUCUAGGAAUAAUGUGUAGCCGUUGCACACCAGCACUUGAAGAGAAACAGUAUUUCCUCCCCAGUGCUCAUAAUCAUAAGUGAUCAUAAGACACAAAGUCUAUCAAUACCUAAGGAAGCACAAUAUAUAUUGCACUUACAUCACUGUUCCACAUACACACCCUAGCAAGGCAGACAACAAAAAGACCAUGCGAACAAAAGCAGCAAAUGAAAAGGUGCACUUUAAAAUAAGCUACUGAGUAUUUUGAGUUCUGCAGUACAUCAGCCAGCCAUUGAGUGUAUUGCAUCCAUUCUGCCUUAUAAGUAGGUGAACAUACACAAGAGGAGAAAUUUGAGUUUAACUGUGGAAAUUCACUUUACAUUUUUGCUAAGAGUCCAGAGUGACUCUUAUUGUCAGAGAUUUUGACAAACAUGCAUUGGUGAGCAGACAAGAAGGAAAGAGGACAAAAAGCAUGGCAAACUUUAUGCACAAUAUGUUUACAAAACAAAAAAUGCCAACAUUGGCACUCCACUAGCAAUGUCAAACUGUGCCAUGCAUCUGCUUUACCCAUGAAAAGACACUGGUAAUCAAAACUAGCAGCAAAGAAUCCCUAGCAGGAUGGGAACCACAACCUGGACACCACUUGGCCCAUGAACCAAAGUACAAGAAAAAAAGCUCUUGACAAAUGAUUUGAAUGUUGACUUCAAUGUAAAUGUUUAAACCUUUGCCUUUUUAGAUGAAGAAAAUUAUCAGUAAUGUAAAGCUGUGAUGUUUUUGAAGGAUGCCAACAUGCCUCAGAUCAACUUAAUUAGCAGUCUGAGUAAGCUGUAGUUUUAAGACUUAGCUAAAAGAAACAAUACAUAUUUCAUGAAACAUAAUGUUCCUCAGCUUCCCAUUUUCUCAGAUUAGUGGAAUUAUAUGAGGCAGAAAUGCUGUAUCAUGUAUCCUU